Long non-coding RNA from Larimichthys crocea (large yellow croaker), 286 nucleotides. RefSeq lists it as uncharacterized. The record is from RefSeq and is a predicted model, not a curated record. NCBI's taxonomy places the organism in Eukaryota, Metazoa, Chordata, Actinopteri, Sciaenidae. The transcript has 3 exons.
GUAAUUUAUAAGAACUACAGGACCGACCGAUCCUGCUGCUGCCCGGCCCGGCUCACUGACACCGACCACAUCCGGCCCGGACUUCAGAAUAAAAGCACCGUCAGGAGGUUGAUGGACCACUCUCUGUCCCGCUAUCCCGCUGACGUCCCGCCUCCUCCGCUGUGAUUGGUCAGGGCUCUGGCAUCUCGUAUGUUACGUUACGCUCUCUCACCAUCACUCGGCACCCCCUGCAGUUCAAUGGUGGUGGUGCGAGCCUUCUUCUUGGCCGGCCCUCCUUCAGACGAAG